AUUGAACGCUGGCGGCAGGCCUAACACAUGCAAGUCGAGCGAGCGGCCGACGGGUGAGUAAUGUAUGGGGACUGCCCGAUAGAGCGGGAUAUCUACCGGAAACGGUGGCUAAUACCGCAUACUAUCGGAUAACCCAUAUGGGAUUAGUUAUUAGCUUGGGUAAAGGCUCACCUAGGCGACGAUCCCUACCUGGUCUGAGAGGAUGAUCAGCCACACUGGGACUGAGACACGGCCCAGACUCCUACGGAGGCAGCAGUAGGGAAUAUUGCACAAUGGGCGCAAGGCUGAUGCAGCAAUGCCGCGUGUAUGAAGAAGGCCUUAGGGUUGUAAAGUACUUUCAGCGGGGAGGCGUUACCCGAAGAGGAAGCACCGGCUAACUCCGUGCCAGCCGCCGCGGUAAUUC
RNAcentral lists this ribosomal RNA (403 nucleotides) under uncultured bacterium. RNAcentral's name for it is "partial 16S ribosomal RNA". It matches the Rfam family "Bacterial small subunit ribosomal RNA", at positions 30 to 526 of the family's 1533-position model. The record is from RNAcentral.